ACCAUAUGAUAAUUGUCUUUCUCUGCUUGGCUUAUUUCACUUAGCAUUAUCUCCUCCAGUGCCGUCCAUGUUGCAGCAAAUGUUGAGAAAUGACCCAUGCGUUAUUAGAAGUAAGUCAUUUAAUUUCCAUAUCUUGGAGAAAACUUCCAUAUAUCUUUCUGUUAUUGAUUUCUAGUUUAAGUCUCUUGUGAUCAGAGAACAUGCUUAGUAUCAAUGUUAAAUUUCUGAAGCUGAUGACUGCACUGUGGUCCUAUUCUUAGGACCACAAAUACACACCGAAGUACUUACUUAGGGGUAAAUUUCCAUGAUAUGUGUAACUUACUCUCUAAUGGUUCAGGAAAAAACUGUGUGUGUGUGUGUGUGUGUGUGUGUGUGUGUGUGUGUACAGAGAUCCCAAGCAAGAGAGAGAAAGAGGGGGAGAAAGUGAGGGAUGGGGGUGGGAACAUACAUGAAUCAUCUAGCAAAUAAAAAAAUAAAACGAAAAGAAAGGAUAAGCUAAUAAGCUUCUCCCAGCCCCUCCUCCAGGCGUGUAUCCUUCCGUACCUUCUCCAUACCACACACAAACUUACACUAAUAUGUAUUCACUUAUAUGGGAUUUUGUUGUUUUAUAAAAAUGGGAUCAGUCUCUGUACAUUAAUUAUUGCGCAGCUUGAUUUUCUCCCUUAACAAUGCAUCAUGGAGAUUCCCCCCAGGUCGAAAGACCUAGGUUUAAACACAGCUGUGUAAUAUUCCAUACGUGUAUGAUAUCACGAUUUCUUCACCCGCCUCCCUAACGAUGGAUACUCCAGCAGUUUCCAGUUUAUACCACUACACACAAGGAAGCGAAAAGCAUCCUUGUGCACAUAACCCACUGUACGGGUGCUGAGGCUGUGACUCACUUCUGAGACUGGAAUUAGAGUCGACACCACAAGUUCUUCGUGAUCCACUAACGCUCAAAGCUGUUCAGCAGUGGGAGGAAGGCUGGUCUCCAGGGGCCAUCUGCUGCAUGCAAUCCCGGCCUUUUCCAGAGGAGGGCCAGAACGUCCUCGAGGAAGCGGGGGACGAAAAGACUGUUGCAACCUGUCUGCGGGCUCGCGGCGGGUGCCCCGUAUUUGCAUGGCAGGACUCAAUGCCCCACACGGAGACUAACAGAGAACAUUCAUGGACUGUUGCCUAGUGCCAGCCACUGAACUAAACCCUUUUGCACAGAAGACCUCAUUUCAUCUCCUCUGCAACUCUGGGAGGUACAGGAGGUGUGGAAUCCUGUUGCAUCGCCUUCCUAUUGCUGCAGUAGUUCUGCGUAAAACCACCCCAAAACAUGGCCGUUCAAAACAACCACUAAUCGCUGGCUUGUGAUUCUGUCAGAAGAGUGAGGAACCGCGAAGUGUCUUAAAAUUAAUUGCCCAAGCUCGCAAAGCCAGCGAAUGGGGGAUGUGAACCUAGGCAGUCAGACACCAGUGACCACGUAUUCAACCUCCCUCCCAUCUCUCCAAGCCUGUGAGCAUGUCCUGAUGGUGAAGACAGCCCUCAAGGAUGUCAUCCUCUCCGAAAACCCCCAACACACCAGUCAACCUCAAGAAGCAAAUCAUCUCCAAAGACCCUUAGCUCCUUGCAGGAAGGACAGAAGUUGGAAGCGAUGUGCCAGUGGGCUUGUGGAUGGGUGACUCUGUAGAUGGUCAGGGGCCUGAGUGCACAUGCGGCUGGAUGGUUGGAUGGAUGGGUUGUUAGCAAGUACGUGAUGUGGUGGGCUCAGGACCACGCAACCUCAUCUCUGCUUGGGUUCUACUAAGGUUGAGGGGCAGGGAAUAAAGAAAUCAAAGCCUCCAGAUGGCCUCUCCUAGAAACUCCAGCUGAGGGCUUGAGGUCUGAGGUCUAUACUGGGAUGAGACUGCCUUUGCGAUCAAGGAGACAUGAGCAACUUUGGUCCUCUGAGCUGGGGACAGUGAGUGCAGAGACUGCCUUCCUUCCAAGGAGUGAGGGCUCAGCCAAUUUUUGAAGGUAUUCUUUCAAUCCCAAGGCUUGGGAUGAUCAUUUUCCAGGUCUUUUUUUGAUGUUGUUAAGAUUUAUUUAUGUAUUUAUUUUUGAGAGAGAGAGUGUGUGUGAGUGAGCAGGGGGAGGGGCAGAGAGAGAAAGAGAGAAUCUCAAGCAGACUCCCCACUGA
This is a long non-coding RNA of Ailuropoda melanoleuca (giant panda), 2140 nucleotides long. RefSeq lists it as uncharacterized. The record is from RefSeq and is a predicted model, not a curated record. NCBI's taxonomy places the organism in Eukaryota, Metazoa, Chordata, Mammalia, Carnivora, Ursidae. The transcript has 3 exons.